ACUUGCAUCUCUCCACUGAAUUCCUUCUUGAAAAUAUAAUAAUUUAUUUUUAAAUUAGAAAUCACAGUUCACACAGCUGCAGAGAAAAGGAAAAUUCCGUUCUACAAGUGGUGAAGAGUCAAAUAAGGUUUUCCUCUCAAAUGAAGCUGGAAGCUUUUGUGGAACGUGCAGUUUGUAGGCAAAGGCACUGGGGAUAAGAAGUGAAGAGCUGCUCUCUGCAUGCCUGAGAAAACUGGAUUAUUUGAAUGCAAAGAUAACAAACAUUUAUCUUGAGGAGAGAUCAACAGCCAGCAGUGCAAUGAUACCAAACCAAUAUCAAGCCUGGGAGGAUAUAGAGCUGUUCAGCUGCACCAAUUCUUCAGGAAAUGUUCCUCCUCCCCCUCUGGAGUGAUGAAAGAAAAAAUAUCAAUACCACUCUGACAAAUCAGCAGAGGAAAAUAUGAUAGCAAAUAACCUGUUUCAGACUGUUUCUUGGCAUUUUAUUAGAGAUCAAAUCAAACUUGUCUAUCCUCAGUGCAUCCUCUUUACCCCAAUGCAAGAAACAUAAAAAAUCAUGUUUUAAAGCAAGGGAGAGUAUCCAUCUGUUGCAUCAAUGAUUGACAGAAAUCCCAUUUCUGAAAGCUGAAAUGGCAGAUGGCCUUUCCUGAACCUCAUCAGAUGGAUUUGUCAUAAAAGGAAAUGUGUCCUUUCAUUUGACAUGCUCUUUCCCAUUGAUUUCCAGAUGACAAACAACUAGGAAAUGCAGUGAGAAAUAAACAAACCAUGGCCUCAGACUUUGAUUCAUGAAGACUGGGGAUUUUCUUGAAUUUCAAUUUAAUUUUCCAUUAAAUGAAGAUAUACUGUAAUACAGUCAGCUUCAGAGGAGGUUUGGAAUGAGUCCUUUAAUUUCCCCCCAUAAAAAACACCUUUAAAAGCUGAACUUUUGCAGAAUGCCUAUGGAGUUUUUGCUGGAGAGUUCAGGCUGAAGUUGUGGGCGCAUACCGUGGUAAAGAUAUUUAUCUUCUUUCAGUCUUUCAGUUCUAUUAUUUAGAGCAUGUCUUUAGCAUUGGUUUCUUUCUGAACACUUCCAUUUCAGAAUAAAAUUAUCUAUUUUAAAUGGUUGG
Lonchura striata (white-rumped munia) is the source of this 1103-nucleotide long non-coding RNA. RefSeq lists it as uncharacterized. Lineage: Eukaryota; Metazoa; Chordata; Aves; Passeriformes; Estrildidae. The record is from RefSeq and is a predicted model, not a curated record.